UACGAAGGGGGCUAGCGUUGUUCGGAAUCACUGGGCGUAAAGCGCACGUAGGCGGAUCUUUAAGUCAGGGGUGAAAUCCCGAGGCUCAACCUCGGAACUGCCUUUGAUACUGGGGAUCUCGAGUCCGGGAGAGGUGAGUGGAACUGCGAGUGUAGAGGUGAAAUUCGUAGAUAUUCGCAAGAACACCAGUGGCGAAGGCGGCUCACAAAACUGUAACUGACGCUGAGGCACGAAAGCGUGGGUAUCAAACAGG
This 253-nucleotide ribosomal RNA is filed under the name uncultured bacterium. RNAcentral's name for it is "partial 16S ribosomal RNA". It matches the Rfam family "Bacterial small subunit ribosomal RNA", at positions 524 to 776 of the family's 1533-position model. The record is from RNAcentral.